GGCUAUCGAAGGAAGUGACCUUAAUUCAUAGCUC
This 34-nucleotide non-coding RNA is filed under the name unclassified sequences. RNAcentral describes it as "S4-Flavobacteria ribosomal protein leader". It matches the Rfam family "S4-Flavobacteria ribosomal protein leader". The record is from RNAcentral.